This 442-nucleotide ribosomal RNA is filed under the name uncultured bacterium. Its description in RNAcentral is "partial 16S ribosomal RNA". It matches the Rfam family "Bacterial small subunit ribosomal RNA", at positions 338 to 795 of the family's 1533-position model. The record is from RNAcentral.
CCUACGGGAGACAGCAGUGGGGGAUAUUGCACAAUGGGGGAAACCCUGAUGCAGCGACGCCGCGUGGGCGAAGAAGUAUUUCGGUAUGUAAAGCCCUAUCAGCAGGGAAGAAGAAAUGACGGUACCUGAGUAAGAAGCACCGGCUAAAUACGUGCCAGCAGCCGCGGUAAUACGUAUGCUGCAAGCGUUAUCCGGAUUUACUGGGGGUAAAGGGAGCGCAGGCGGCACGGCAAGCCUGAUGUGAAAGCCCGCGGCCCAACCGCGGGACUGCAUUGGGAACUACCGGGCUGGAGUGCCGGAGAGGUAGGAGGAAUUCCUAGUGUAGCGGUGAAAUGCGUAGAUAUUAGGAGGAACACCAGUGGCGAAGGCGGCCUACUGGACGGUGACUGACGCUGAGGCUCGAAAGCGUGGGGAGCAAACAGGAUUAGAUACCCCAGUAGUC